CGAACGUAUCACCCAAGACAACUUUACGGAGUUGACGAUUGACGGAGCGAAGCGACGUCAAAGCGUUCAUUAAAGUCGAGUUGGCUUAGGGAUACGUUCGUUGGGUAGGGGAGCGUUCUGUAAGCCGUUGAAGGUGGCCUGUGAGGGUUGCUGGAGGUAUCAGAAGUGCGAAUGCUGACAUAAGUAACGAUAAAGCGGGUGAAAAGCCCGCUCGCCGGAAGACCAAGGGUUCCUGUCCAACGUUAAUCGGGGCAGGGUGAGUCGACCCCUAAGGCGAGGCCGAAAGGCGUAGUCGAUGGGAAACGGGUUAAUAUUCCCGUACUUGGUGUUACUGCGAAGGGGGGACGGAGAAGGCUAUGUUGGCCGGGCGACGGUUGUCCCGGUUUAAGCGUGUAGGUGUGUGUUCCAGGUAAAUCCGGUUCACUUUAACACUGAGGCGUGACGACGAGGCACUACGGUGCUGAAGCAACAAAUGCCCUGCUUCCAGGAAAAGCCUCUAAGCAUCAGGUAACAUCAAAUCGUACCCCAAACCGACACAGGUGGUCAGGUAGAGAAUACCAAGGCGCUUGAGAGAACUCGGGUGAAGGAACUAGGCAAAAUGGUGCCGUAACUUCGGGAGAAGGCACGCUGACACGUAGGUGAAGUGAUUUACUCAUGGAGCUGAAGUCAGUCGAAGAUACCAGCUGGCUGCAACUGUUUAUUAAAAACACAGCACUGUGCAAACACGAAAGUGGACGUAUACGGUGUGACGCCUGCCCGGUGCCGGAAGGUUAAUUGAUGGGGUCAGCGCAAGCGAAGCUCCUGAUCGAAGCCCCGGUAAACGGCGGCCGUAACUAUAACGGUCCUAAGGUAGCGAAAUUCCUUGUCGGGUAAGUUCCGACCUGCACGAAUGGCGUAAUGAUGGCCAGGCUGUCUCCACCCGAGACUCAGUGAAAUUGAACUCGCUGUGAAGAUGCAGUGUACCCGCGGCAAGACGGAAAGACCCCGUGAACCUUUACUAUAGCUUGACACUGAACAUUGAGCCUUGAUGUGUAGGAUAGGUG
RNAcentral lists this ribosomal RNA (1043 nucleotides) under Salmonella enterica subsp. enterica serovar Stanley. RNAcentral's name for it is "partial 23S ribosomal RNA". It matches the Rfam family "Bacterial large subunit ribosomal RNA", at positions 1150 to 2149 of the family's 2925-position model. Lineage: Bacteria; Pseudomonadati; Pseudomonadota; Gammaproteobacteria; Enterobacterales; Enterobacteriaceae. The record is from RNAcentral.